GUGAGGAAUAUUGGUCAAUGGGCGGAAGCCUGAACCAGCCAAGUAGCGUGCAGGAUGACGGCCCUAUGGGUUGUAAACUGCUUUUAUGCGGGGAUAACUGGCACUACGUGUAGUGCCUUGCAGGUACCGCAUGAAUAAGGACCGGCUAAUUCCGUGCCAGCAGCCGCGGUAAUACGGAAGGUCCGGGCGUUAUCCGGAUUUAUUGGGUUUAAAGGGAGCGUAGGCCGCCUGGUAAGCGUGUUGUGAAAUGUACCGGCUCAACCGGUGACGUGCAGCGCGAACUGCCUGGCUUGAGUGUGCGGUAGGCAGGCGGAAUUCAUGGUGUAGCGGUGAAAUGCUUAGAUAUCAUGAGGAACCCCGAUUGCGAAGGCAGCUUGCUGCAGCAUUACUGACGCUGAUGCUCGAAGGUGUGGGUAUCGAACAGGAUUAGAAACCCUAGUAGUCC
RNAcentral lists this ribosomal RNA (445 nucleotides) under uncultured bacterium. Its description in RNAcentral is "bacterial SSU rRNA". It matches the Rfam family "Bacterial small subunit ribosomal RNA", at positions 354 to 796 of the family's 1533-position model. The record is from RNAcentral.